GACGAACCGUGCGAACGUUGUUCGGAAUCACUGGGCUUAAAGGGCGCGUAGGCGGUCGACCAAGUCUGGGGUGAAAUCUUUCGGCUCAACCGGAAAAGUGCCCCCGAUACUGGCCGGCUAGAGGGAGAUAGGGGCAUGCGGAACUUCCGGUGGAGCGGUGAAAUGCGUAGAUAUCGGAAGGAACGCCGGUGGCGAAAGCGGCGUGCUGGAUCUCUUCUGACGCUGAGGCGCGAAAGCCAGGGGAGCAAACGGG
Molecule: ribosomal RNA, 253 nt
Filed under: uncultured bacterium
Lineage: Bacteria
Description: partial 16S ribosomal RNA
Rfam family: Bacterial small subunit ribosomal RNA
Source: RNAcentral